CGCGUAGGCGGGAAGAAAAGUCAGAUGUGAAAUCCCGGGGCUCAACCCCGGAACAGCAUUUGAAACUCCCUUUCUUGAGGGUAGACGGAGAAAAUGGAAUUCCACAAGUAGCGGUGAAAUGCGUAGAUAUGUGGAAGAACACCAGUGGCGAAGGCGAUUUUCUAGUUUACACCUGACGCUGAGGCGCGAAAGCAAGGGGAUCAAACA
This 207-nucleotide ribosomal RNA is filed under the name uncultured bacterium. Its description in RNAcentral is "partial 16S ribosomal RNA". It matches the Rfam family "Bacterial small subunit ribosomal RNA", at positions 568 to 774 of the family's 1533-position model. The record is from RNAcentral.